This 621-nucleotide long non-coding RNA is filed under the name Elaeis guineensis (African oil palm). RNAcentral describes it as "long non-coding RNA (EGUI_LNC074608)". Lineage: Eukaryota; Viridiplantae; Streptophyta; Magnoliopsida; Arecales; Arecaceae. The record is from RNAcentral.
UCUAUAUCUUCAUAUCUCAGACGAAAAGCCUCAAGCUCUGGAGGUCAGUAAUGCAUGUUGGGAAGCUCAUGAUCCCAUUUACAUCGAUUCAGGUUGGUAAUGGACAUCACACCAUGUUUUGGAUCAACUGUUGGAUUACCGAUCCUAACCUCAAGACCAUUUUUCCUAUCUUAUAUUGGCUAGCUAUAGAUAAAGACUGCACCGUUGCUUCUUUCUUAAACAAGGAUAGAUGGUCUCAAAAUUUUAUAAACCUCUCACACCUAAUUGCUCAAUCAAAAUCUCUGGGUUUUAACAGGAAUGCUGAGAAACUUCAGGCUAUCGAACCAUGAAGACAAGAGGGCUCUGGAAAUGGUUCCCGAAUCAUGUAUAUCUACCCCAUAUCGGCCUGCUCUAAGUUUCUCAUCCAUGGCGGGGUGGUUUCCCAUUUCGGAAGGAUCAUUUGGAAGCUUCCAAUCCCUGAAAAAUAUAAAUUAUUCAACUAGUUAUGUUAUAACCAUAAGAUUCUUAUUGUCGAAAUCUUCGGAAAAAAAGGAUUUCACGGACAUAGCAGAUGUUCGUUUUGCUGUAAUGAUAAUAAAUCAAUUGACCAUAUCAUAUUGCUCCAGUGCAGUUACUCGGUAG